ACUCCUACGGGAGGCAGCAGUGGGGAAUAUUGGACAAUGGGGGCAACCCUGAUCCAGCCAUGCCGCGUGAGUGAAGAAGGCCCUAGGGUCGUAAAGCUCUUUCAACUGUGAAGAUAAUGACGGUAGCAGUAGAAGAAACCCCGGCUAACUCCGUGCCAGCAGCCGCGGUAAUACGGAGGGUGCGAGCGUUAAUCGGAAUUACUGGGCGUAAAGCGCAUGCAGGUGGUUUGUUAAGUCAGAUGUGAAAGCCCGGGGCUCAACCUCGGAAUUGCAUUUGAAACUGGCAAACUAGAGUACUGUAGAGGGGGGUAGAAUUUCAGGUGUAGCGGUGAAAUGCGUAGAGAUCUGAAGGAAUACCGGUGGCGAAGGCGGCCCCUGGACAGAUACUGACACUCAGAUGCGAAAGCGUGGGGAGCAAACAGGAUUAGAUACCCUGGUAGCUACGAG
This 447-nucleotide ribosomal RNA is filed under the name uncultured bacterium. RNAcentral's name for it is "bacterial SSU rRNA". It matches the Rfam family "Bacterial small subunit ribosomal RNA", at positions 335 to 801 of the family's 1533-position model. The record is from RNAcentral.